GAUGGGUAGCUUGCUCCCUGAUGUUAGCGGCGGACGGGUGAGUAACACGUGGGUAACCUGCCUGUAAGACUGGGAUAACUCCGGGAAACCGGGGCUAAUACCGGAUGGUUGUUUGAACCGCAUGGUUCAAACAUAAAAGGUGGCUUCGGCUACCACUUACAGAUGGACCCGCGGCGCAUUAGCUAGUUGGUGAGGUAACGGCUCACCAAGGCAACGAUGCGUAGCCGACCUGAGAGGGUGAUCGGCCACACUGGGACUGAGACACGGCCCAGACUCCUACGGGAGGCAGCAGUAGGGAAUCUUCCGCAAUGGACGAAAGUCUGACGGAGCAACGCCGCGUGAGUGAUGAAGGUUUUCGGAUCGUAAAGCUCUGUUGUUAGGGAAGAACAAGUACCGUUCGAAUAGGGCGGUACCUUGACGGUACCUAACCAGAAAGCCACGGCUAACUACGUGCCAGCAGCCGCGGUAAUACGUAGGUGGCAAGCGUUGUCCGGAAUUAUUGGGCGUAAAGGGCUCGCAGGCGGUUUCUUAAGUCUGAUGUGAAAGCCCCCGGCUCAACCGGGGAGGGUCAUUGGAAACUGGGGAACUUGAGUGCAGAAGAGGAGAGUGGAAUUCCACGUGUAGCGGUGAAAUGCGUAGAGAUGUGGAGGAACACCAGUGGCGAAGGCGACUCUCUGGUCUGUAACUGACGCUGAGGAGC
RNAcentral lists this ribosomal RNA (700 nucleotides) under Bacillus subtilis. RNAcentral describes it as "bacterial SSU rRNA". It matches the Rfam family "Bacterial small subunit ribosomal RNA", at positions 70 to 754 of the family's 1533-position model. Lineage: Bacteria; Bacillati; Bacillota; Bacilli; Caryophanales; Bacillaceae. The record is from RNAcentral.